CAGCCGUAAACAAUGUGCGUUAGGUGUGUCGGUAACCACGCGUUACUGAUGCGCCGAAGAGAAAUCGUGAAACGCACCACCUGGGAAGUACGGUCGCAAGGCUGAAACUUAAAGGAAUUGGCGGGGGAGCACCACAACAGGUGGAGCCUGCGGUUUAAUUGGACUCAACGCCGGGAAGCUCACCGGAUAGGACAGCAGAAUGAUUGCCGGGCUGAAGACCCUGCAUGACUAGCUGAGAGGAGGUGCAUGGCGUAGACGUCU
Molecule: ribosomal RNA, 261 nt
Filed under: uncultured archaeon
Lineage: Archaea
Description: partial 16S ribosomal RNA
Rfam family: Archaeal small subunit ribosomal RNA
Source: RNAcentral